Molecule: long non-coding RNA, 621 nt
Organism: Anneissia japonica
Lineage: Eukaryota; Metazoa; Echinodermata; Crinoidea; Comatulida; Comatulidae
Exons: 3
Source: RefSeq, a predicted model, not a curated record
GCAAGCGUGUAUGUGAACUACCGGAACUAUGUCGUAGACACGCCGUCGCAAAAACAUCUUCUAAAGUAUUGAAUUUUGGAAUGGUGUUCUUCUAAGUAAGAAAAUAUACAUAUAGUAUGGCGACACUCCAUUUCACGAAUUGUUGCAAAGUGACCAUGAAUACCAAGUUCACCAAGACGGAACCCAAUCCUUGUUACAUGCUGUAGCUGACCCGACUCUAUUGAACCAGUGUCGCAGGUCAAAUCUGCCGAUCCAUCAAUAAGUGAAAAGUCGAUGUAUAAUCAUUGUCAGCGGAACACGAUGUAUUAAAUUGCCGGAACACAAUAUGAAUAUCAAUAGCCGGAUUUAUGAGGUCUUAAUUCUACAAAUAAUCGUGCGCGGAUAUUUAUUAGGAUUUAUAUCACUGGAUCGCCAGAAUUGAAUCAAAUUUGCCAAUUAUAUUUCUUAUACAACGAACAAGUAAUUCUCGAACGAUAUUACAUAAUUAAAUAUAAUUAGGCCUAAGCAUUGUUAUAUUAUAUAAAACUAGAAUCUUUAUAUUCUACUUAUAUUACGUUUAUAUAGUUCUGAUGUACCAUUUCCGAGUAUGUAAGAAAUAAAAGUAAACUGUAGUGUAAUUUA